This 155-nucleotide unclassified non-coding RNA is filed under the name uncultured fungus. RNAcentral describes it as "sequence contains ITS1, 5.8S rRNA gene". Lineage: Eukaryota; Fungi. RNAcentral also lists the same sequence under 1 other name. The record is from RNAcentral.
GUGAAUGCCUGGGCUGUCAUACGGACUGCGGUCUCUGACGCCCACCCACUAUAUCCGCAAACCCUGUGCACUGUGGUGUUGUCUUGGACACACCUCGCCAACCAACUCGUCUUUGUAUCUGUACGUGUCUACUUGGCCUAAGCCAAAAAUCAACA